Molecule: ribosomal RNA, 573 nt
Filed under: Alternaria alternata
Lineage: Eukaryota; Fungi; Ascomycota; Dothideomycetes; Pleosporales; Pleosporaceae
Description: eukaryotic LSU rRNA
Rfam family: 5.8S ribosomal RNA (bases 226-379)
Source: RNAcentral
AUUUUUGGAAGUAAAAGUCGUAACAAGGUCUCCGUAGGUGAACCUGCGGAGGGAUCAUUACACAAAUAUGAAGGCGGGCUGGAACCUCUCGGGGUUACAGCCUUGCUGAAUUAUUCACCCUUGUCUUUUGCGUACUUCUUGUUUCCUUGGUGGGUUCGCCCACCACUAGGACAAACAUAAACCUUUUGUAAUUGCAAUCAGCGUCAGUAACAAAUUAAUAAUUACAACUUUCAACAACGGAUCUCUUGGUUCUGGCAUCGAUGAAGAACGCAGCGAAAUGCGAUAAGUAGUGUGAAUUGCAGAAUUCAGUGAAUCAUCGAAUCUUUGAACGCACAUUGCGCCCUUUGGUAUUCCAAAGGGCAUGCCUGUUCGAGCGUCAUUUGUACCCUCAAGCUUUGCUUGGUGUUGGGCGUCUUGUCUCUAGCUUUGCUGGAGACUCGCCUUAAAGUAAUUGGCAGCCGGCCUACUGGUUUCGGAGCGCAGCACAAGUCGCACUCUCUAUCAGCAAAGGUCUAGCAUCCAUUAAGCCUUUUUUUCAACUUUGACCUCGGAUCAGGUAGGAAACCCAACCUU